Molecule: ribosomal RNA, 407 nt
Filed under: Wolbachia sp.
Lineage: Bacteria; Pseudomonadati; Pseudomonadota; Alphaproteobacteria; Rickettsiales; Anaplasmataceae
Description: bacterial SSU rRNA
Rfam family: Bacterial small subunit ribosomal RNA
Source: RNAcentral
GAUUUAUACCUAUUCGAAGGGAUAGGGUCGGUUCGGCCGGAUUUUACACAGGUGUUGCAUGGCUGUCGUCAGCUGUGUCGUGAGAUGUUGGGUUAAGUCCCGCAACGAGCGCAACCCUCAUCCUUAGUUGCCAUCAGGUAAUGCUGAGCCUUUAAGGAAACUGCCAGUGAUAAGCUGGAGGAAGAUGGGGAUGAUGUCAAGUCAUNAUGGCCUUUAUGAAGUGGCUACACACGUGCUACAAUGGUGUCUACAGUGGGCUGCAAGGUGCGCAAGCCUAAGCUAAUCCCUAAAAGACAUCUAGUUCGGAUUGUACUCUGCAACUCGAGUGCAUGAAGUUGGAAUCGCUAGUAAUCGUGGAUCAGCAUGCCACGGUGAUACGUUCUCGGGUCUUGUACACACUGCCCGUC